Molecule: ribosomal RNA, 301 nt
Filed under: uncultured bacterium
Lineage: Bacteria
Description: partial 16S ribosomal RNA
Rfam family: Bacterial small subunit ribosomal RNA
Source: RNAcentral
CAGUAGCCGCGGUAAUACGGAGGGGGCUAGCGUUGUUCGGAAUUACUGGGCGUAAAGCGCACGUAGGCGGCUUGGUAAGUUAGAGGUGAAAGCCUGGAGCUCAACUCCAGAAUUGUCUUUAAGACUGCCGAGCUAGCAGGUGAGAGAGGUAAGUGGAAUUCCGAGUGUAGAGGUGAAAUUCGUAGAUAUUCGGAAGAACACCAGUGGCGAAGGCGGCUUACUGGCUCAUACUGGACGCUGAGGUGCGAAAGCGUGGGGAGCAAACGGGAUUAGAUACCCCCGUAGUCCCUGUCUCUUAUAC